UACGAAGGGGGCUAGCGUUGCUCGGAAUGACUGGGCGUAAAGGGCGCGUAGGCGGAUGGCACAGUCAGAUGUGAAAUUCCCGGGCUUAACCUGGGGGCUGCAUUUGAUACGUGUUGUCUUGAGUUCGGAAGAGGGUCGUGGAAUUCCCAGAGUAGAGGUGAAAUUCGUAGAUAUUGGGAAGAACACCGGUGGCGAAGGCGGCGACCUGGUCCGACACUGACGCUGAGGCGCGAAAGCGUGGGGAGCAAACAGG
RNAcentral lists this ribosomal RNA (253 nucleotides) under uncultured bacterium. RNAcentral's name for it is "partial 16S ribosomal RNA". It matches the Rfam family "Bacterial small subunit ribosomal RNA", at positions 524 to 776 of the family's 1533-position model. The record is from RNAcentral.